CUUUAUGAUGGAUGUAGAACACACU
RNAcentral lists this non-coding RNA (25 nucleotides) under Rattus norvegicus (Norway rat). Lineage: Eukaryota; Metazoa; Chordata; Mammalia; Rodentia; Muridae. The record is from RNAcentral.